This 3460-nucleotide long non-coding RNA is filed under the name Podarcis lilfordi (Lilford's wall lizard). Lineage: Eukaryota; Metazoa; Chordata; Lepidosauria; Squamata; Lacertidae. The record is from RNAcentral.
UCUAUACACUACCACUGAAGGACAUUUAGGUGAGUAUCCCUAGCUUGGCUAGGGAGAAAAUCUCUGUUGUGUUCGUCUGCAACUCUUUGUGCUAAGACUCUUUCAGGUCGGGGUGACUGAGUCGUCAGAAGAAGCUCUAUUCUGUGUCACCACAAUGAGGCCCACCUGCAAGUAGGAGAAGACUUCUUCUUUUGUUCCAGCUCCUCUUUUCUUCAGGCUUUGCAGAGUUCAGUGUAUGUGAAGUGAGAGUCGCCUGCAUUUGGACUGUGCUGCUUUAGGUAAGUUCACAUUCCACUACUCAUCCCCCCCCCCCCCCAGAAUAAUGUUUUUUUUAUUGGUCUCUCCUUUUUCUCAUUUUCUUUUCUACUGGUCUCUCCGCAGGUCUCUCCAAAGAGCUCUUCUUAACAUCUUCAGGUUUUCUUUUUCCUGAGAGAACAUUAGCAGAAUGUUCUCUCAGGUUUUGCUUUUCCCCUUGUUGCAUUGCUCAAAAAAAAAAGCAAAAGACACUGGUGGUCGGCGCUCCUGGUUUCCAGGACGGGGUUCAAAUCCCUGCGGUGUCCAUGCUUACUUCCAAUGCAACUGCUAACACUCUCUAUCCUUCUCUAUCUUUCUCUAUCUCUCUAUCCCUCUCUCUCUCUGUCUCUCUAUCCCUCUCUAUCCCUCUCUAUCUAUCCCUCUCUAUCUCUCUAUCUCACACUGCCCAAAUAACAAUUGGCUCUUUUUUCUUAAGCCAAAGUAUUAGCAUGGAAGGGUGGUGACUUCAGUGACUGAGCUUGAUUCUUAACUCCACCACUGCACCUAAGGACCAUUUCAAGCACCACCUUCAAGGCUUCCAGGUCGGGGUUCAAGUCCCUGCGGUGUCCUUGCUAACUUCUAAUGCAACCAUCUAUUUGCUCCUAUAUCCCUCACUUCCCAAAGUAUUAGCAUGGGAGUGUUUUUGGGUGGGGAUUUCAGUGAAUAAGCUUGGUUCUGUAAAGUAUACAGUCAAAGCAACAUAAUUAACAGAAAACUAAAAUAUUAUCUUAAAGAUUUCAAAAUAAAACAUUACAAAGGAGGUCAACUACAGAAUACAUAUUUAACCCAAACAAAGUUAACAACAACAAAAGCCCCAAACAUUUCAAAAAAGAAAAAAACAUUGCUAAGUGAAGUCAAAUAUAAAAUGCACAUUUAAAACAGCAUAAUUAGCAAGAGAAUAAAAUAUUAUCAUAAGCAUGACACGGCUGUUUGGCAGGCACAAAAAGAUGGGGCAAAAGAAUCCAAUAGUUAGGGUUUGUUGUCAGGCAUAGCGAUGUCCCUCUGGUCUCCCCAGGAACCACUUGGGUAGAGCUGGGUGAGUGUGCGUCCCGCCCCCUAGGCCAGGUGGAAAGGGCCUUGCAGGGAGCGGCCUUCACGGCUCACAGCCGGGCGAUGUCCCUCUGCUCUCCCUUCAGGGCUAGCUUCAGGGCUCUGCAUUCAGACCAGCAAGACUGGGCAUUUGCUAAAGAUCCCAAAAUCCCAUGCUCCUACUUCAGCUUUGUACAAAGCAUCCAAUACAACAGAUGCAGCCAAGAGAAUUCUCAGCUUGCACGUUCCACCUCUUGCAGACCAGGGGCAUAGGCACUGAGGGUACCAUGCCCGAGAGCCCCCUGAAUCCUAAGACCACGUGCCCCACUCUUCCAACAGUAAAAAAACAACCCCAAAGAAACUGCCCCAUCAUCCCAACUCUACUUCCUUCAUAAUUAAUAGUUGGGCAAGACUUCAUCCUUUAGAAGCAAAUGGCAAUGAAACUUACAAGAUUUUCAUUUGCAUAAACAUGGUUAGAACUGGGCUGCAGCACACUCAAACUCAUUUAAAAUAAUUGUAUGAAUAGACUAAAUAUUUACAAAAUAUAUAUGACACUCUGACACUAGAUUCAGAACCGACAAAAAACACUAGUGCAAAGUUCUUCAUUCAGAGCAUAUUAUUUUUUUUAUCGAUAAGGUGUUGAUGUGUCUACAAUGGGCAAAUUCAUGAAAAAUGCGUCUAUUAAUGGCUGUUAAAAUGCAACCUCCAUUAUCAGAGACCCUAGAACUCUGAUUGCUUGAAGUUGGGGAUAAGCAAUAGGGCAGGCGUGUCCAAAGUCUGUUUCGGGGGCCUAAUCCUGCCCGCAGGUCGGUUUAAUCCGGCCCCUGUGGAAGUUUAUUUCCUGGGUAAAAUGGCCCUCUUUGGAAAAAAGUUUGGACACCACUGCAAUAGAGGAUUGCUCUCCUCAACUUGCUCUGCUGUGAACUUCUAAUUUCCAGGGUAAUAUAGUUGACAACUGUUGAAGGCAAAGAGCUAGACAGGAUGGACCUUUCACCUGAUCCAGCAUAGGCUGCUUUUAUGUGGUCAACUACAAAUCAGUACAUGCCAGUAGGGGGCUCCAAGGUUACAGGAAACAGUUGCUGCCCUCCUGCCAGAGUGCCAAAGGGUCCUUUCACAACACGGAGUAGGAGGACUCCAAAUACUGAAGACUUCGGAGGGACACAGGGGGCACCAUAUGCUUAAGAGCCAUUAUGUGUAGCCUAGCAACAUUCCUCUGUGAAACAACAGCCUCUGCACCCCGCCAUCACACCAGAAUCCUGAUUUAACUUUCGAAAAUGUUAUAAACCCAUGCUGCUGAUGUUUAUCAUUUUUACUGUGCUUAACAAGUGUUGAAAGAGCUUUGCAUUCUCUGUCUCAAGGACAGGUUACAAGUCGUAUGUCACUCAGUUCUGCUGUUGCUGCUCUUCUUCUUUAUAAACAAAACACAGCUUCCAAAGGAGGGCAUUUGAGUGGAGAAGUGGCUUGGGGCUGUGCUUUACACUUCCGCUAUCCCACAGACUCUCUGCUUCAAAUGGAAGAACCCCCAUUUAGACUCAUUUUGAACCUUCUGGGGAACCAACCCUCAAGGAGAGAAAUUUGGAGUUGAGAGGCUGCAGGCAGGGUGAGUGUGGGUCCCGCCCCCUAGGCCAACACCAACACCCCUCCCACUGCUUCUGUGAUCAAAACCACCCCACCUGAAUCUGUUUUUCUUUUGGGAAGAAUGGAACAGGGGAACAGUUACCAGUAUUUGCAUGUAAUGUCUCAUAAAGGCAUAUCUCAGCAGUAACAUCUUAAUAACCCUCAACGUGGGUCUAUUAUACCUGCAGGUAGUCAUGGAACAGGAACCCUCCUUCCUUGGAUUCCAAAGCAGACUCACCUGAUUUGACCUGAAGGAGCGUCUCCACCCCCAUCGUUCAGCCCAAACACUGAGGUCCAGCGCCGAGGGCCUUCUGGUGGUUGCCUCCCUGCAAGAAGUGAAGCUACAAGGAACAUGGCAGGGCCUUCUCGGUAGUGGCGCCUGCCCUGUGGAACGCCCUUCCACCAGAUGUCAAAGAGAAAAACAACUACUUUUAGAAGACAUCUGAAGGCAGCCCUGUUUAGGGAGGCUUUUAAUGUUCAACAGACUAUUGUAUCUUAAUAUUUUGUUGGAAGCAGCCCA